Cotesia glomerata is the source of this 126-nucleotide long non-coding RNA. RefSeq lists it as uncharacterized. The record is from RefSeq and is a predicted model, not a curated record. Lineage: Eukaryota; Metazoa; Arthropoda; Insecta; Hymenoptera; Braconidae. The transcript is spliced from 3 exons.
CUAAAAUAUUGAAAAUAGGUAUAUAGUAUAGUUAAAACAUUUUUAAUAGGAAAUUUCCUAAGUUACAAUUUUGUAUUCUUAUAAUUUUUUCCUAAACUCAAUAUUUUAGGAGUUAUAGCAACUUUU